RNAcentral lists this ribosomal RNA (463 nucleotides) under uncultured bacterium. RNAcentral's name for it is "partial 16S ribosomal RNA". It matches the Rfam family "Bacterial small subunit ribosomal RNA", at positions 28 to 507 of the family's 1533-position model. The record is from RNAcentral.
GACGAACGCUGGCGGCGUGCUUAACACAUGCAAGUCGAACGGUGAACCUCUUCGGAGGGGAUCAGUGGCGAACGGGUGAGUAACACGUGGGCAACCUGCCCCCGGCUCUGGGAUAACUCCAAGAAAUUGGGGCUAAUACCGGAUGUUCACCGCUUCCCGCAUGGGUGGUGGUGGAAAGGGUUUCCGGCUGGGGAUGGGCCCGCGGCCUAUCAGCUUGUUGGUGGGGUAGUGGCCUACCAAGGCGACGACGGGUAGCCGGCCUGAGAGGGUGACCGGCCACACUGGGACUGAGACACGGCCCAGACUCCUACGGGAGGCAGCAGUGGGGAAUAUUGCGCAAUGGGCGGAAGCCUGACGCAGCGACGCCGCGUGGGGGAUGACGGCCUUCGGGUUGUAGACCUCUUUCAGCAGGGACGAAGCGCAAGUGACGGUACCUGCAGAAGAAGCACCGGCCAACUACGUG